CAGGUAGACUUCAGUAGAGCUUCUUUGUAGCCGGAUCCCAGACGAGCUUCUACAAUGGGACAGGACCCACCAGCCAGAUCGCUACUCCGAGCUCCCACGACAAUCGCUCCUCGAUCGAGCUUCUACAAUAAGCGGUCUCUUUUCAGCCUUCUGCAAGAACCAGACCUCGAUCGAACUUUCAUAGCGGAUGGAUAUCGGAUGAGCUUCUACGAUGGAUGGACUCUAGCAGCUGGAUUCUUACAACGAUC
RNAcentral lists this long non-coding RNA (248 nucleotides) under Elaeis guineensis (African oil palm). RNAcentral's name for it is "long non-coding RNA (EGUI_LNC063235)". The record is from RNAcentral. Lineage: Eukaryota; Viridiplantae; Streptophyta; Magnoliopsida; Arecales; Arecaceae.